CCCAAAAGACUAGUCCAAUGGGGGAAGGGUGGCUCUCCCUUUUAAAGUGGCUUCCUCCUCCCAAGUUAAGCGAGGUGGGAUAAUUCUGAGGCUCACACGGUCACCGUCCGACUACAAUUGGGCUAACUAGGCCAAUUGCGUCUUUGCCAACGGGUAAUAGUGGAGGAUAUCCUCAUCAUUCCCACCUUCUUAAAAUGGGCCCUAGCUUUGAUACCAGAUGGUACACCCAGCUCAGGUGGGGUUGGCCGAGGCCCAACAAAUUAGGGUUGCUCGGAGCCCAACAGUUCAUUAUGCACACCCAACUUAGGGAAAGGCCCAAUCGCUCCAAAAGACUAGUCCAAUGGGGGAAGGGUGGCUCUCCCUUUUAAAGUGGCUUCCUCCUCCCAAGUUAAGCAAGGUGGGAUAAUUCUGAGGCUCACAUGGUCACCGUCCGACUACAAUUGGGCCAACUGGGCCAAUUACGUCUUUGCCAAUGGGUAAUAGUGGAGGAUGUCCUCAUCAUUCCCACCUUCUUAAAAUUGGCUCUAGCUCUGAUAUCAGAUGAUACACCCAGCCCAGGUAGGAUUUGCCGAGGCCCAACAAAUUAGGGUUGCCCGGAGCCCAACAGUUCAUUAUGCACACCCAACUCAAGGAAAGGCCCAAUCGCUCCAAAAGACUA
This 658-nucleotide long non-coding RNA is filed under the name Zea mays. RNAcentral describes it as "long non-coding RNA (ZMAY_LNC005018)". The record is from RNAcentral. Lineage: Eukaryota; Viridiplantae; Streptophyta; Magnoliopsida; Poales; Poaceae.